GCACAGAAUAAAAAUGGGCUUCUAACCUGUUUUACACUAAUUUCCGCAUUACAGAAUUUUUAUACCAUGGUACUUAAGGUAAGACGACUAGCAGUUAGGAUUCAUGCGAUCUUUAGUUUAUUAAUCUGACAAAUACAGGAAAAUUUUGCAAUCUAUCAAAAUUGUAUCUUAUCAAGAAUUUGAAAGGUGUUACAAAAAGAUGUUUUCACAUUCUUUCUGGAUUAUGUACAAAUCAGUAUCUGUAGAAACAAAAACAAAACAGCAAACACUUGAGAGUAAAGGAAUCCCAAUGAAGUCCAUAUUCCAGCAUCUCCAAUCACAUUGUAAACCAAGCCACUAUUGCAGUGUGCACAAUCCUGUAGCCACCACUGCAUGAUUCAAAGUUCUGAAGCUGCUGCCAAUGGUUCCAAUAAAUACUUGCUCUUUUAAAAAGGAAAAUGUCCUAAGAAGGAAACUUUCCCCACUGCAUAGUCCAACCUGAAGUUCUAGUCAGGCACAUUUGAGGAGGGUCCCAACCAUCUCCUCUUAUUAAUAAUAGAGCAAGCAUCCAGGAAGUGGUACCUUUCUGAGAUAUUCUGAAAUUGCUUUGUAGACAGAGACAUUGAGUGAUUUCAGCAGGAGGCAGCUUUCAAGUACAGCAGGUAAAAUUGGUAGGUUUCUGAUCAGGACUAUAACUGGUGGUCAAGGCAAUACCUAACAUCCAUCCUCUCCUUAGGGAGGUGUUUCCUAUAAUCAGGUAAGACCACCAGCUAAUGGCAUCCAAAUAAACUACUCAGAGACCAUUCUUUUAUGACAGGGCUGCAAAGAGUUGAAAGUUGGCGAGUGUUUUUCAAAGUCCUCUAUUCUGGGAUUUUAGAGACGUUACGAAGAUAUAUGUUCUAUGCUCAAAUUGAAGAUACAAAAGUCUCUGCCAUGAGAUCAGUGAGAUCAUCUGUCCAGUUCUGAAAGCUCCUUUCCAACACAGUGUUUAGGAUCCAACACAGUGUUAGGACAUCUGCAGGGGAAGAGGGAGGUGGGGUACUGUCUUCCUAUGAUAAGGGCAAAUUCAGAGGAAGAGAAGGAAAGAAGCCUUAGUUCACUCAGAAGACUCAGUCCUGAAAUGAGCACAAUCCAGUUCAUGAGCCUGCUUCUCAUGCAGAGAUGGUACAGGUAGAGAAGCUGUGACAGCAUAUGCUACAUAAGGCUCUGACAGCAUUAUUGCAAUUUUCAGUGUCAUCUAUGUUCAUGUGGCAAGAGCCCUUAACAAUCAUGAAAAAGUGGUUACAGAUUAGAGUAUACAGUCAUUAUGCCUAAAGUUUCCAAUGUUUUAAAGAGCUUAAAGUUAUCUGUAUGUUAGAAAACAGGAAAGAAAUAACAUAGUUAAAGUGAAACUCUUGAAAAAUUUAGAAAAGUCCAAGGUAACGUAGCUUCUUCCUUCCAGGAAAAAAAUGUUGCUGAUUGAACAUAUGGUGUGGUAAAUAAAAUGAGGAACUUGUAGUCAAGAAUCACAGAACAUAGCUCUAGUUCUGCUUCUGACAUCACUUGACUUCCAUUAAUUGCUUAACUUUUUAUAUUUCCCCCUUUGCCAGUGGGAUACAGAUGCGUUUCUAUGAAAAAUGCCUUGAAGUCCUUAGGGAAACGGCUUUAGAUGUAAUAUAAUAUUAUUUGCAGCCUGUUAGAAGUAAAUGACACACAGGGAGGAGAUCCGACAUUCAGAACUUAAAACAAUAUAUUCAGUUGUUGCUUUUAUGGGCAGAUAAAUUAAUAAUGAAUAGCUGACUUUCCCCAUACUUUUCUUCUAAGCUCUGCAAAGAUCAUGAUUUCCAAUUUUUUCUAAAUGUAAAAUGCAAUCAAUAAAAAGUAGUGGUACCUGCAAUUUGUUCUAAUAGUUGAUUUUGCUUAACUUUUAGGAGAAGAUACUUUAGUAAAAGAUAAAGGUGUUUUCUUUAAAAAAAAAAAAAAGGGGGGGGGUGAUGGGGUAAAAAUUAAAGGUAUACAUUUAAAAAAGAGAGAAAAUAACCUCGAAGUACAAUAAUGAAUUGGCCAUUACAAAAAACAAAAACAACAACAAGAAAAAAACAAAACCUGUGGCUUCUAGUCCAGGGAAUCAAACAACAUCAAUCUUCCAGAUAUACCCUGUGAACUACUUUCUACAAAAAUGUACUCUAUUAUUUUGUGUGUCAAAACUAAAUACAAAUCUACUAUUUUCUCACCUAUUAACUUCUUUCUUUUAAAGGAUAUUUUAAUUUUAAACUAAACUUGAAAUUCAUCUAACUUCUGAAUCUGUUGCACUUUGUUGGUUAGUUCAAUGCAGUGUUCUUCCCAUUGUAGAAGAGCCCCACUGCUAGCUAUCCCCAGAUUCCCACUUUUAGAUAAAUACUGUGACUGCCCAUCCCUGAAUGACUUUAAAGCAAGUAUCUGGAAUUUCCUCUGUUUCAUACCAUGACCUCAUUCAUUUUUCCUUAUGGAAGACUUAUAAUUGAUAUUCUGGGAUCUCUAAACUUGUCCUUAAGGAGUGUCUGGGGGCAAAUUCAUACUACUGGUAUCCUUGGUUCUACUUAAUGGAACAUAAUGGUCUGUUUGUUGUUAUACAGUUUGGUUUAGACAUGGCUUAGAUCUGCAUGUAGCAUCACAAGCCUUUCAAGGGAAAAAACUAAAAUACAGGGUGGCCAAUAAACACGCGAUAAAAUCUCUCUUAGGUGAACUCUAGUUUGAAGUCAAAAUCUAUAAUACAUAGGGUUAUCUGGAAGCUUUGUUUAAAAG
Sarcophilus harrisii (Tasmanian devil) is the source of this 2742-nucleotide long non-coding RNA. The record is from Ensembl. NCBI's taxonomy places the organism in Eukaryota, Metazoa, Chordata, Mammalia, Dasyuromorphia, Dasyuridae.